RNAcentral lists this non-coding RNA (29 nucleotides) under Mus musculus (house mouse). The record is from RNAcentral. Lineage: Eukaryota; Metazoa; Chordata; Mammalia; Rodentia; Muridae.
GAACAAAGGUGAUUUUUGUCUGUUAGGGU